Molecule: ribosomal RNA, 478 nt
Filed under: uncultured bacterium
Lineage: Bacteria
Description: bacterial SSU rRNA
Rfam family: Bacterial small subunit ribosomal RNA
Source: RNAcentral
UUGAACGCUGGCGGCAUGCCUUACACAUGCAAGUCGAACGGUAGAGUAGCAAUACUCGAGAGUGGCGAACGGGUGAGUAAUAUAUCGGAACGUGCCCAGUCGUGGGGGAUAACGCAGCGAAAGCUGUGCUAAUACCGCAUACGAUCUCUGGAUGAAAGCGGGGGACCUGCAAGGGCCUCGCGCGAUUGGAGCGGCCGAUAUCAGAUUAGCUAGUUGGUGGGGUAAAAGCUCACCAAGGCGACGAUCUGUAGCUGGUCUGAGAGGACGACCAGCCACACUGGAACUGAGACACGGUCCAGACUCCUACGGGAGGCAGCAGUGGGGAAUUUUGGACAAUGGGCGCAAGCCUGAUCCAGCAAUGCCGCGUGCAGGAUGAAGGCCUUCGGGUUGUAAACUGCUUUUGUACGGAACGAAACGGUUCUCUUUAAUAAAGAGGGCUAAUGACGGUACCGUAAGAAUAAGCACCGGCUAACUACGU